This 252-nucleotide ribosomal RNA is filed under the name uncultured bacterium. RNAcentral's name for it is "partial 16S ribosomal RNA". It matches the Rfam family "Bacterial small subunit ribosomal RNA", at positions 524 to 776 of the family's 1533-position model. The record is from RNAcentral.
UACGAAGGGGCUAGCGUUGUUCGGAAUUACUGGGCGUAAAGCGCGCGCAGGCGGUCUUCCAAGUCAGUGGUGAAAGCCUGGAGCUCAACUCCAGAACUGCCAUUGAAACUGUUAGACUUGAGUACGAGAGAGGUGAGUGGAAUUCCCAGUGUAGAGGUGAAAUUCGUAGAUAUUGGGAAGAACACCGGUGGCGAAGGCGGCUCACUGGCUCGUAACUGACGCUCAGGCGCGACAGCGUGGGGAUCAAACAGG